GGGCAAUGGGCGCAAGCCUGAACCCAGCAACGCCGCGUGAAGGAAGAAGGCUUUCGGGUUGUAAACUUCUUUUAAGAGGGAAGAGUAGAAGACGGUACCUCUUGAAUAAGCCACGGCUAACUACGUGCC
Molecule: ribosomal RNA, 129 nt
Filed under: uncultured bacterium
Lineage: Bacteria
Description: partial 16S ribosomal RNA
Rfam family: Bacterial small subunit ribosomal RNA
Source: RNAcentral